This is a long non-coding RNA of Alligator mississippiensis (American alligator), 3354 nucleotides long. RefSeq lists it as uncharacterized. The record is from RefSeq and is a predicted model, not a curated record. NCBI's taxonomy places the organism in Eukaryota, Metazoa, Chordata, Crocodylia, Alligatoridae. The transcript has 2 exons.
CUUAUUUGUCUGUCCAGUGUGUGGAGAGGUCCCUGGGCUGCAGGAGGGGGCUGGUGCUUCCCUCCACAGCAGCGGCAGCCCCCACCAGGCAGCACCCGCCUGCUGGCACCUGGCUCAGGCAGUCCCAGGGGGCACUGCAGCCGCAGAGGAAGCACUGGGCCCCUGUGCAGCUCAGGCAGGCAGGUAGGCUCCAGGGGAAAAAAAAAUGCAGGUUCUCCGCUUUUCUUGGGCAGAGCCUGCUUUCUUGGGCUGCUGCCAGGCUGCCUGCAUGGGCUUCCUGCAGAGCCCCUGAGCUGCAUGGAGCCUAGUACUUUGCUCUGCAGCUGUAGGGCAGUAAACUAAAACUCCUCAGAGGAGUUUUAGUUUGCUGUGCCCUGAGUUAUUUAAGGCUCAUUAUGCUGCUGAAUUAGGUACAGCGGCUGGAAUUACUGUGCAAUACGCUGCUGACGCAUGCAGACACCAACAUCAUUAAAGCGGUGCAAAAGCAUUUAACUUGCUUUAAAGUGUCGUGCACAUAUGCCCCUCAUUUCAUCUAUACAUGGCCUUAAAGACCAGUUGUUUGAAGACUGUGAAGUGUAUGUUAACAAAGCACUAGGAUAGGGCAGCCAGGCUAGCAUAAACUGCAAAAUUCUGCAGCUUUGUAUUAGCCUAUGUAUGAAAAAUGAAUUAAAUAUGAUUAUUGCAUUAGGGGAACAAUGCAAUGUCUGUAUUAAAUCCAAGGAUAUUUAGAGUGAGGCAUAUUACUGUAAGGGCUUUGUAAAAAGUUAAUAAAUUUAAGAGUGUGUUGAAUGAGAUAACCAACCCAACAAAUCAGUACUUCAUAGUAGGAGUCACAAAGUCAUACAUCACAAAGAAAAGAGUUGCCUGUAAGAAAUCUAGAAAGGUUAAGUUAGAUUAUCUCACGUGCAGAAAACUAGAGGAUGUAAGUCUACAUGAGUGGCUGACUGCUUAACCAAGUGCUAAAUGAUUGUGUAGUAACUGGCGUUACUGCACUGUCUCAUCACCGCAGUUAUUUUUAGAUGCUAUUGCAUAGUAGGAACAAGCUAUUGUGCAGUAGCUUAUUACAACUGUGCAGUAGCGUCACUGUUGCAGUUCACGCCUGGUGACAUUACAGCAUUGUAGCAAUGAGCUACGACGCAGUAGCAUCUCAUGCAGAUGUACCUAAUGGUAGCUAAAAAUAAUGCAACAAUUGAAAUUGACUUUGCUGUGAUUUUAUUAAAAAAAAAAAGAAGAGGUAACAGUUUUGUGGGAAACUCAAUAAUUUUAAUUCCAUAAAAUCGUUUGGGGAUCAAUUUUAGUGUCUUUAAUAGAGAAGAUCUCUAUAGUAGCAACAUUUUUAAAAUAAGACAGUUUAGUAUCAUGGAAUGUGCUAAUUAAGGCCCUUGGGGCUAAAAAGCUUGCACAACUUAUCAAGCAGGUGGAUGCCCACUGACAGCAUUAUGGUUGUUAUGCCUUCUGGGUGGUGCAUUGGCACACUGCAUUGGUAAACAACCCUACUGAAAUUAAGGAAUGUCCUGAACUGCUCCUGCAUCAUCUUUGGUCACACAGACACAUAUGCUGCUUUAUCAAAUAUUUUAAGUAGAACCAGGUGUGGUUGGAAUAGCUGCACAGGUUUAGCAAGGUGCAUAGACACCACUUGUUGGCCUGCUUAUGUCAAGAGUUGCUAGUAUUUAGGAAUAUAUGAAAAGAAGUUUUGGUAAACAAAGCUGACAGACUGUCAGUAGAAAAUAAAAAACCUGGAGUUUUUGGAGGCUGUCACUUUACACAAGAAAACAUCCCUGAGAGAGUACCCAGUGCUCCUGGAGCAGGGGAGGUAGGUUGUUUUUUCAUUUCUGGAAAAAAGAAAAUCUAUUUUUUUCUGUUUGAUUGCACUGCUUUUAUUAACGGUGGUUCAUGUGUUUACUGUAGUGUAAUCUGUUUGGUGGGUGAGCAGAGACUUCAAGCUAUGUUUCAUCAAAGCAAGUUCUGCUGAUGCAAGAGAAGACCUUCAGCUUGAGUGUCAAUACAUGGAAAAGGAAAGAGAAGAAGGAAAGAAUUGUUAGAAAAAGAAAAUUUAUCAACACAAGCAUAUAGUUGAACAAUGGAAAAGAUAUGAUUGCUUUAUUUUUUUGUAUAUUUUAUUUAAAAGCAGACUCCUUUUUGUAAAAAUGAGGUAGGGGGUGUGAGAGAGAGAGAGAGAAGGAGAGAGAAAUUGAGAGGGGUGUGGAGUUAGUUUUCUUAUGAGGUUUUUUUUUUAAUUAUGUUUGAUCUAAGUAAGUCUGCUGAUAUCAUAGAUAAAUCUCCAGAUUCAGCAGCGUUGGAGCUUCCAAAGGCCAGGAGGCUCAUUCCAAAAUCUUUAAUACCAACACCCCAAAACAACAUGGACAUUUGGCCUGAGGGCCUUGUUACACCUUACACUGUGAGCCAAACAAGUGUUGAUUGACUUGCUGCUAGCUUGAAGUGUGGAGAAGUCACACCUUCAACCUGAGUGGCCCAUCUAUGAGGAGUGGCCACACCUUAAUGGAACAGGAGCUGGGUUGCAUGGAUCAGAGAUAAUCCUGCUCUGGUGUGGUGUAACUUUGAGCCACAUAAUAAGUGCUUUAAGCCACUUUAAUGUGUUAAUGUGCAGACAGUCCAGGGGUUAAGAGCUCCAGGAGCUGCUCAGAAUAGGAAGUGUAACAAUGUCUUGAGAAUCAGAAACACUUAACACUUCCUCUGAUGACAGAAUUAAAAAAAAAGGAAAACCCUGGCCAAAAAAGUCUAUGUAAACACCACUUUGGUUCUCCAGAAACCCAUAAUAAAGUUGAGAGAAGGAAUAAAGAAAAUCACAGUUCCAAAGCAAAUGCUUUAGGAACUGUGAAUAAAAAAAAAUCCAUGGACUGCAAAUUCCCAUGGUUUAGUAAGGUCUUCUCAUGAACUAUAUGAAAAUAUUGGCAAAAUAUUUUCUCUCUCAAGAGAUGGCUACUCAUUUGUUAAAGCUUCUCGAAGAUAUAAAGAAUAUUGACAUGUAUUACUUUGUAUAUGUGUAUUUCAGCGCAUAUGCCUGUAGGGUAAAGUUUUUAUAGUGCCAAGUUAAGCAGUUAACUGGCAAAGUAUAAUGGGAAUUUGGAUCAUGUCAGUAGCCUAAUCUUUGUAUUUUAAGCACUGUUAAGGAAAGGUCCUUUUCCUGUAUGCUGAACCAAAUGAACUCUGUGUAUCUUUCACUUCUAUUUUUUCUUUUAAGUUUGCCAGUUAGCUACCAGUAAGAAUAAUUUGUAUGCUUUCUGUUAUGUUAUUUUUAAUACACUUUUCUAUCAAUGUAAACAUGUAAAUGAACUAAUAAUAUAGGAUUUUAAUCUGAAAACAAAUUUAGCUAUAAAAAGGAUUGACUGAAAA